This 407-nucleotide ribosomal RNA is filed under the name uncultured bacterium. Its description in RNAcentral is "partial 16S ribosomal RNA". It matches the Rfam family "Bacterial small subunit ribosomal RNA", at positions 30 to 526 of the family's 1533-position model. The record is from RNAcentral.
AUUGAACGCUGGCGGCAGGCCUAACACAUGCAAGUCGAGCGGAGCGGCGGACGGGUGAGUAAUGCCUAGGAAUCUGCCUGGUAGUAGGGGAUAAAGUCAGGAAAGGGGCGCUAAUACCGCAUGCUAUCAGAUGAGUCUAGGUCGGAUUAGCUAGUUGGUGGGGUAAAGGCUUACCAAGGUGACGAUCCGUAACUGGUCUGAGAGGAUGAUUGGUCACACUGGAACUGAGACACGGUCCAGACUCCUACGGGAGGCAGCAGGGGGGAAUAUUGGACAAUGGGCGAAAGUCUGAUCCAGCCAUGCCGCGUGUGUGAAGAAGGUCUUCGGAUUGUAAAGCACUUUUAGUUGGGAGGCGUUACCAACAGAAUAAGCACCGGCUAACUUCGUGCCAGCAGCCGCGGUAAUUC